CCUACGGGAGGCAGCAGUGGGGAAUUUUGGACAAUGGGGGAAACCAUGAUCCAGCCAUUCCGCGUGAGUGAAGAAGGCCUUCGGGUUGUAAAGCUCUUUCGGCAGGAACGAAACGGCGGACUCUAACAUAGUCUGUCAAUGACGGUACCUGAAGAAGAAGCACCGGCUAACUACGUGCCAGCAGCCGCGGUAAUACGUAGGGUGCGAGCGUUAAUCGGAAUUACUGGGCGUAAAGCGUGCGCAGGCGGCUUUGUAAGACGGAUGUAAAAUCCCUGGGCUUAACCUAGGAACUGCGUUCGUGACUGCAAAGCGAGAGUGCGGCAGAGGGGGGUGAAAUUCUUGGUGUAGCAGUAAAAUGCGUAGAGAUCAGGAGGAACACCGAGGGCGAAGGCAGCGCCCGGGCCGACACCUGACGCUGAAGCGCGAAAGCGUGGGGAGCGAACGGGAUUAGAUACCCCGGUAGU
Molecule: ribosomal RNA, 464 nt
Filed under: uncultured Rhodocyclaceae bacterium
Lineage: Bacteria; Pseudomonadati; Pseudomonadota; Betaproteobacteria; Rhodocyclales; Rhodocyclaceae
Description: partial 16S ribosomal RNA
Rfam family: Bacterial small subunit ribosomal RNA
Source: RNAcentral